This 206-nucleotide long non-coding RNA is filed under the name Lathyrus oleraceus (garden pea). RNAcentral describes it as "Pisum sativum (pea) long non-coding RNA (PSAT_LNC001529)". Lineage: Eukaryota; Viridiplantae; Streptophyta; Magnoliopsida; Fabales; Fabaceae. The record is from RNAcentral.
UUUGAAGUUAUAAACAACCUCUGGUUUUACAAACUUCUCACCUAAUCACUACCCUGUGGAAUUUCUAUCUAAGACACUCUUAGAUAUGAGACCCUUCUCAGUUCCCUUCAAUCACACAACAGUGAUAACAACGGAAAAACAAUCAAAGAAUAGAAUAUAAACUCCAAUGAAAACAUAAUUCACUCUUACUUAAAAGCUCAUGAGUG